ACUCCUACGGGAGGCAGCAGUGGGGAAUAUUGCACAAUGGGGGAAACCCUGAUGCAGCCAUGCCGCGUGUGUGAAGAAGGCCUUCGGUUGUAAAGCACUUUCAGUAGGGAGGAAGGUAGUGUAGUUAACACCUGCACUAUUUGACGUUACCUACAGAAGAAGCACCGGCUAACUCCGUGCCAGCAGCCGCGGUAAUACGGAGGGGUGCGAGCGUUAAUCGGAAUUACUGGGCGUAAAGCGCAUGCAGGCGGCCUGUUAAGUCAGAUGUGAAAGCCCGGGGGCUUAACCUCGGAAUUGCAUUUGAAACUGGCAGGCUAGAGUCUGUAGAGGGGGUAGGAAUUUCAGGUGUAGCGGUGAAAUGCGUAGAGAUCUGAAGGAAUACCAGUGGCGAAGGCGGCCCCUGGACAAAGACUGACGCUCAGAUGCGAAAGCGUGGGGAGC
Molecule: ribosomal RNA, 441 nt
Filed under: uncultured bacterium
Lineage: Bacteria
Description: bacterial SSU rRNA
Rfam family: Bacterial small subunit ribosomal RNA
Source: RNAcentral